AAAGGUUUCUGUCCCUAAACUUAGUGCUAUCCUUCCUGAGUUUUGGCGUCUCCUGAUUUGGCUAUGGUUCUUUAUGCUACUGUUCCACCCGCAAUUUACCAGACUUACACUAUCUCUAAUUUGGAGCAGAGCAAAACAUGUGUUUGUUUUGAGGGUUCUUGGGUGCUCAUGUGAAACCGAAGGCGCAGGAAAAAGUGUGGAAAAGGGGAUUAUGUGGAUAUUUUUACCCUCUUGCCGUUAGAACGUUUUAACAUUGAUAUGUGGAUUAAGGGGAAAGAGCUCCGUAAUAGGAACAGGCGUCAUUACCGUCUUAUCCUUAGAACUGGCUACAGGCAUUUUGUAUUAUGGCUAGUUU
Non-coding RNA from Pelobates cultripes (western spadefoot toad), 355 nucleotides. The record is from the annotation of a GenBank genome assembly. Lineage: Eukaryota; Metazoa; Chordata; Amphibia; Anura; Pelobatidae.